GGGGUUGUAGCUUAGUGGUAGAGUGCUUGCCUAACAUGCUGGGGCACUGAGUUCGAUCCUCAGUACCACA
This 70-nucleotide transfer RNA is filed under the name Marmota monax (woodchuck). Its description in RNAcentral is "tRNA.Val". It matches the Rfam family "tRNA". From Rfam's summary of the family: Transfer RNA (tRNA) molecules are approximately 80 nucleotides in length. Their secondary structure includes four short double-helical elements and three loops (D, anti-codon, and T loops). Further hydrogen bonds mediate the characteristic L-shaped molecular structure. tRNAs have two regions of fundamental functional importance: the anti-codon, which is responsible for specific mRNA codon recognition, and the 3' end, to which the tRNAs corresponding amino acid is attached (by aminoacyl-tRNA synthetases). tRNAs cope with the degeneracy of the genetic code in two manners: having more than one tRNA (with a specific anti-codon) for a particular amino acid; and 'wobble' base-pairing, i.e. permitting non-standard base-pairing at the 3rd anti-codon position. Lineage: Eukaryota; Metazoa; Chordata; Mammalia; Rodentia; Sciuridae. The record is from RNAcentral.